CCAAGCCCUGUACCGAUGCUGGCAUAGGCGAAGGACAUGAUUGCUGCUGUGACGGAGAGCCACUCGGUGUUCCGGAAAUCAGAAAUACCUCAUGCUUAGGGAGGAUGUAAUAGUGUAGACAAUGCCCAGCUUGAUGAAAUUUAUCCGAACAAUAACACCACACACAUAUGCAUUCUUCUUCCCUGGAUACAAUACAGCAUCCAGGUAUGACCCAUUUCUGUACAACACGCCAGUGUUGGGAUCACUCCAUUUGUAGCAAUUGCAGAGUAGAAGGGCGGAGGCUAGGGUAACCGAUGAGAAUGCGAGCAUGGUGAAGGGGCCGGCAAUCCAUCCGAGCUGGGACAAGCUCCAUCCCAACGUCAGCACGCCGGAUCCGAUCACGGCGGUGAUGAUGUGGGCCAGAGCAGUCCACACGGUGCCUGAUCGCUCGCCGGGAAUAGGAUGAUCACACAUAUCCCCCAAAUCACAAGGAGGCUGGGUCACUGCCUGAGCUGUAAAUCAAGGUAUGUGACUUCUGAACUAGAACCUACUUAAUGCACUGAUUUCAUGCCACGAUUACGCUGAUCAAGAACAGGGAAUGGGUAAUUGGGGAUUUGUUUUUAACUUUAGUGAUGAUAAUUGAAUUAGAAAUAAAGAUGGGGAAAAUGUAAAAGACAUGAUUGUGUUUUCACAGGGACAGAGUUGGAGGAUGUUGGGCUAAUAGAGGGUUUGCUCAUCACGGUUAAAAAAGGAACCCUAGAAUGAUUUGCAGACAAGUAAUUAGAGCAGAAGACUUCUUGGUAGUAAUGGAGAAUUGGACUAACCUCUUCUGUAUGAAUGAAGCAGCAUAAUUUGAGAAGACAUGAUGUACUUACAGAAGAAGAAGAAAAAGGAAAAUAGUUAAAUGAAUAGUGAUGAGUUCGGGGGGUGCCUAUGCUGCUGUUAUUUUUAUUUCCAUGGCAGGACACAGACUAUAGUGACGUUAAAGGGACUUACUCGGGACUAACAAUGUUUGACCUCUAGAAUCUGUAGUGUAGGAGAUAUUUGUCUGACAUUAAGAUAUUUUUGAAUUUAUUGGAACCAUAGAUAGAUAUAUACAUUUGUUUAGUAUUUGUCCAUCCAUCCUGACCUGACCUGACCCAAUGUUUUUACAAUAAUUUGUGGUCCGAAUGAAUGAUUAUUUAACAGGACCAAAAAGUGCAGCUAUGACCCCUUCAACAGAUCCCACAAAAGCAAACAAUGCUAUCACAAAACACCCAAAGCUAAAACCCCUUAGGACAAGCCACUCCGUUGUCCAGGCUUCAAUCCCUUUCCUCCUCAGACACAUCUCCACUGGAAAAUAUAUGGCUAAGGGCCAGAAAGAUAGUGCCCCAAGAAUUCCCAAAACCUCAUUGAAGAAAGGAAAAAUUACUGCAAUAGCAGUUCCUGAGGCAACAUAAGCUGUCCUGAAACAUACCCUCUGAAGGCUUAUCUUCAGAUCAGGCAACAAUGGCAGUUUUAGAAUGUAGGUUUUGGUUACAAAUGAGUUGUCCGGGAAAUGCUCCCCCAUCCAGUUUUCGGCUGCUGCAAAUAGCGGCUGAGAAUACACCUGAAGAGAGGGUCGAAAAAGGGUAGUAUUGAAUAAUGAACUGAUUAAGCUUAAUCGAACCUUGUUCAGCUUAUAGUGUAAAGUAACAUCAGUGUAGAUAUGAUCUUGGACAUACAUACAUACCUGGUAGCCUCCGACUAAGUGGAGGACGAUGCAUGCAUUGGCAAAGUCGAUGAGCCAGUAGGGCUCGUAGAAGCCAAAACCUGUCAAGAUAUUACCGGGCGUUUGAUCGCCAAAUGCUGCAUACCCAAAGCCUCCACAGCCAAGAUAGUAAAACGUUGUGAGAGCAAUAGAUAUUACUGAUGCUCGCUUCAUAGUCCUGUUCUCAGGUGGCGGAGAUUUCAACGUAUCCUUCAAGAAAAAACAACCACAAGUGUGCACGACCGGUUCCAAGAUUGUAAGUUUUCUUUAUGUAAGAAUUAGACCUGUUAUAGUUCUUCCAAAACUUGUUGUUUUAUCGUUCCCAUCGACUCUACAAUGUGAAAGAAAAUCUAUUGCUGUUUACCUGUAUAGCAAGGACAAGGACGGAAAAAGGAUAGGCGAAAGCAAUGUCGCCUACUGCCUGAGAAACCAGCCAUAGCUUCUGACUGCCGGGAGAAUCCAUAACUCCAAAGAAAGAGGAUGGAUGAUGCACCAAUGGCUUUGGAAGCGCCUAAUCCGAGCCCAAUGGAGGCAUAAGAGAAGGACAUAACCGCAGCAACGGAGGAUAGCCACUC
This is a long non-coding RNA of Andrographis paniculata, 2283 nucleotides long. RefSeq lists it as uncharacterized. The transcript has 4 exons. The record is from RefSeq and is a predicted model, not a curated record. Lineage: Eukaryota; Viridiplantae; Streptophyta; Magnoliopsida; Lamiales; Acanthaceae.